UAGGGAAUAUUGGUUAAUGUGCGAAAGCGCGAACUAGCAACGCCGCGUGUGCGAUGAAGGCCUUCGGGUCGUAAAGCACUUUUUGCAGGGAAGAGGAAGGACGGUACCUGCAGAAUAAGUCUCGGCUAACUACGUGCCAGCAGCCGCGGUAAAACGUAGGAGACGAGCGUUAUCCGGAUUUACUGGGCGUAAAGCGCGUGCAGGCGGCAUGGCAAGUUGGAUGUGAAAGCUCCCGGCUUAACUGGGAGAGGUCGUUCAAUACUGCCAGGCUAGAGAGUGGUAGAGGGAAGCGGAAUUCCGGGUGUAGUGGUGAAAUGCGUAGAUAUCCGGAGGAACACCAGAGGCGAAAGCGGCUUCCUGGCCCAUUUCUGACGCUCAGACGCGAAAGCUAGGGUAGCAAACGG
RNAcentral lists this ribosomal RNA (404 nucleotides) under uncultured bacterium. Its description in RNAcentral is "bacterial SSU rRNA". It matches the Rfam family "Bacterial small subunit ribosomal RNA", at positions 355 to 775 of the family's 1533-position model. The record is from RNAcentral.